UACAGAGGUCUCAAGCGUUGUUCGGAUUCAUUGGGCGUAAAGGGUGCGUAGGUGGCGAGGUUAGUCAGGUGUGAAAUCUCGGGGCUCAACCCCGAAACUGCACUUGAUACUGCCUUGCUAGAGUACUGGAGAGGAGAUUGGAAUUUACGGUGUAGCAGUGAAAUGCGUAGAUAUUGUGAGGAACACUAGUGGCGAAGGCGAAUCUCUGGACAGUUCCUGACGCUGAGGCACGAAGGCCAGGGGAGCAAACGGG
Molecule: ribosomal RNA, 253 nt
Filed under: uncultured bacterium
Lineage: Bacteria
Description: partial 16S ribosomal RNA
Rfam family: Bacterial small subunit ribosomal RNA
Source: RNAcentral